UAGGGAAUAUUGGACAAUGGGUGCGAGCCUGAUCCAGCCAUGCCGCGUGCAGGAAGAAGGCGUUAUGCGUUGUAAACUGCUUUAGCCAGGGGAUAAAACGACCUUGCGAGGUUAAUUGAAGGUACCUGGAUAAUAAGCCACGGCUAACUACGUGCCAGCAGCCGCGGUAAUACGUAGGUGGCAAGCGUUGUCCGGAUUUAUUGGGUUUAAAGGGUGCGUAGGCGGCCCUGUAAGUCAGUGGUGAAAUAUCUCAGCUUAACUGAGAGGGUGCCAUUGAUACUGCGGGGCUUGAGUACAGAUGAGGUAGGCGGAAUUGACGGUGUAGCGGUGAAAUGCAUAGAUAUCGUCAAGAACACCGAUAGCGAAGGCAGCUUACCAAGCUGUAACUGACGCUGAGGCACG
This 402-nucleotide ribosomal RNA is filed under the name uncultured bacterium. RNAcentral's name for it is "bacterial SSU rRNA". It matches the Rfam family "Bacterial small subunit ribosomal RNA", at positions 355 to 755 of the family's 1533-position model. The record is from RNAcentral.